AUAUUACUCCCUCCGUCCGAAAAUACUUGCAUCAAAAUGGACAAAAAAGGGUGUAUCUAGAACUAAAAUACAUCUAGAUACGUCCCUUUUUAUUUAUUUUGAUGACAAGUAUUUCUGGACGGAGGGAGUAAUAU
Non-coding RNA from Triticum aestivum (bread wheat), 134 nucleotides. The record is from Rfam. NCBI's taxonomy places the organism in Eukaryota, Viridiplantae, Streptophyta, Magnoliopsida, Poales, Poaceae.